RNAcentral lists this ribosomal RNA (442 nucleotides) under uncultured Syntrophomonas sp. Its description in RNAcentral is "bacterial SSU rRNA". It matches the Rfam family "Bacterial small subunit ribosomal RNA", at positions 939 to 1382 of the family's 1533-position model. The record is from RNAcentral. Lineage: Bacteria; Bacillati; Bacillota; Clostridia; Eubacteriales; Syntrophomonadaceae.
UAGUGGUUAAUUCGAUGCAACGCGAAGAACCUUACCAGGCUUGACAUCCCACGAAUUCAUCUGAAAGGAUGGAGUGCCUUCGGGAGCGUGGAGACAGGUGGUGCAUGGUUGUCGUCAGCUCGUGUCGUGAGAUGUUGGGUUAAGUCCCGCAACGAGCGCAACCCUUGCUAUUAGUUGCUAACAGGUAGAGCUGAGCACUCUAAUGGGACUGCCGGUGACAAGCCGGAGGAAGGUGGGGAUGACGUCAAAUCAUCAUGCCCUUUAUGACCUGGGCUACACACGUGCUACAAUGGAUGGUACAGAGAGCAGCGAGGCAGCGAUGUGGAGCGAAUCUCAAAAAGCCAUUCUCAGUUCGGAUUGGAGUCUGCAACUCGACUCCAUGAAGUCGGAAUCGCUAGUAAUCGCGAAUCAGCAUGUCGCGGUGAAUGCGUUCCCGGGCCUU